UCGGAGCGUAAACUCCUUUUAUCAGGAAAGAAUAAUGACGGUACCUGAUGAAUAAGCACCGGCUAACUCCGUGCCAGCAGCCGCGGUAAUACGGGGGGUGCAAGCGUUACUCGGAAUCACUGGGCGUAAAGGACGCGUAGGCGGAUUAUCAAGUCUUUUGUGAAAUCUAGUGGCUUAACCACUAAACUGCUUAGGAAACUGAUAGUCUAGAGUAGGGGAGAGGUAGAUGGAAUUCUUGGUGUAGGGGUAAAAUCCGUAGAGAUCAAGAAGAAUACCCAUUGCGAAAGCGAUCUGCUGGAACCUAACUGACGCUGAGGCGUGAAAGCGUGGGUAGCAAACAGGAUUAGAUACCCUGGUAGUCCACGCCCUAAACGAUGUAUACUAGUUGUUGCUUUGCUAGUCAAGGCAGUAAUGCAGCUAACGCAUUAAGUAUACCGCCUGGGGAGUACGGUCGCAAGAUUAAAACUCAAAGGAAUAGACGGGGACCCGCACAAGCGGUGGAGCAUGUGGUUUAAUUCGAAGAUACGCGAAGAACCUUACCUGGACUUGACAUCCUAAAAACAUCUAAGAGAUUAGAAAGUGCUAGUUUACUAGAAUUUAGUGACAGGUGCUGCACGGCUGUCGUCAGCUCGUGUCGUGAGAUGUUGGGUUAAGUCCCGCAACGAGCGCAACCCACGUGUUUAGUUGCUAACAGCUCGGCUGAGCACUCUAAACAGACUGCCUUCGUAAGGAGGAGGAAGGUGUGGACGACGUCAAGUCAUCAUGGCCCUUAUGUCCAGGGCGACACAC
RNAcentral lists this ribosomal RNA (789 nucleotides) under Campylobacter ureolyticus. RNAcentral's name for it is "bacterial SSU rRNA". It matches the Rfam family "Bacterial small subunit ribosomal RNA", at positions 418 to 1221 of the family's 1533-position model. Lineage: Bacteria; Pseudomonadati; Campylobacterota; Epsilonproteobacteria; Campylobacterales; Campylobacteraceae. The record is from RNAcentral.